Molecule: ribosomal RNA, 1494 nt
Filed under: uncultured bacterium
Lineage: Bacteria
Description: partial 16S ribosomal RNA
Rfam family: Bacterial small subunit ribosomal RNA
Source: RNAcentral
AGAGUUUGAUCCUGGCUCAGAACGAACGCUGGCGGCAGGCCUAACACAUGCAAGUCGAACGCCGUAGCAAUACGGAGUGGCAGACGGGUGAGUAACGCGUGGGAACAUACCCCUCGGUUCGGAAUAACUCAGGGAAACUUGAGCUAAUACCGGAUACGUCCGAGGUUUUAAUCGACCUUGGAGAAAGAUUUAUCGCCGGAGGAUUGGCCCGCGUCUGAUUAGCUUGUUGGUGAGGUAAUGACUCACCAAGGCGACGAUCAGUAGCUGGUCUGAGAGGAUGAUCAGCCACAUUGGGACUGAGACACGGCCCAAACUCCUACGGGAGGCAGCAGUGGGGAAUAUUGGACAAUGGGCGAAAGCCUGAUCCAGCCAUGCCGCGUGAGUGAAGAAGGCCUGCGGGUUGUAAAGCACUUUCAGUAGGGAAGAAAAGCCGAGUGCUAAUAUCACUCGGUCUUGACGUUACUUACAGAAGAAGCACCGGCUAACUCCGUGCCAGCAGCCGCGGUAAUACGGAGGGUGCGAGCGUUAAUCGGAAUUACUGGGCGUAAAGGGCGCGUAGGCGGUUCGGUAAGUCGGGUGUGAAAGCCCCGGGCUCAACCUGGGAAUUGCAUUCGAUACUGCCUGGCUAGAGUAUGGUAGAGGGAAGCGGAAUUCCGGGUGUAGCGGUGAAAUGCGUAGAUAUCCGGAGGAACACCAGUGGCGAAGGCGGCUUCCUGGACCAAUACUGACGCUGAGGCGCGAAAGCGUGGGGAUCAAACAGGAUUAGAUACCCUGGUAGUCCACGCCCUAAACGAUGAGAACUAGCCGUUGGAGGAGCUUUGUCCUUUAGUGGCGCAGCUAACGCGAUAAGUUCUCCGCCUGGGGAGUACGGCCGCAAGGUUAAAACUCNAAAGGAAUUGACGGGGGCCCGCACAAGCGGUGGAGCAUGUGGUUUAAUUCGAUGCAACGCGAAGAACCUUACCUGGCCUUGACAUGUCUGGAAUCCUUGAGAGAUCGAGGAGUGCCUUCGGGAACCAGAACACAGGUGCUGCAUGGCUGUCGUCAGCUCGUGUCGUGAGAUGUUGGGUUAAGUCCCGCAACGAGCGCAACCCUUGUCCUUAGUUGCCAGCACGUAAUGGUGGGAACUCUAAGGAGACCGCCGGUGACAAACCGGAGGAAGGUGGGGAUGACGUCAAGUCAUCAUGGCCCUUACGGCCAGGGCUACACACGUGCUACAAUGGCCGGCACAGAGGGCUGCAAACCCGCGAGGGGGAGCUAAUCCCACAAAGCCGGUCUAAGUUCGGAUUGCAGGCUGCAACUCGCCUGCAUGAAGUCGGAAUCGCUAGUAAUCGUGGAUCAGCAACGCCGCGGUGAAUACGUUCCCGGGCCUUGUACACACCGCCCGUCACACCACGAAAGUUGGCAACACCCAAAGCCGGUGGGCUAACCCGCAAGGGAGGCAGCCGUCUAAGGUGGGGUCGAUGAUUGGGGUGAAGUCGUAACAAGGUAACCGUA